GACGAACGCUGGCGGCGUGCCUAAUACAUGCAAGUAGAACGCUGAAGAGAGGAGCUUGCUCUUCUUGGAUGAGUUGCGAACGGGUGAGUAACGCGUAGGUAACCUGCCUUGUAGCGGGGGAUAACUAUUGGAAACGAUAGCUAAUACCGCAUAACAAUGGAUGACACAUGUCAUUUAUUUGAAAGGGGCAAUUGCUCCACUACAAGAUGGACCUGCGUUGUAUUAGCUAGUAGGUGAGGUAAUGGCUCACCUAGGCGACGAUACAUAGCCGACCUGAGAGGGUGAUCGGCCACACUGGGACUGAGACACGGCCCAGACUCCUACGGGAGGCAGCAGUAGGGAAUCUUCGGCAAUGGGGGCAACCCUGACCGAGCAACGCCGCGUGAGUGAAGAAGAUUUUCGGAUCGUAAAGCUCUGUUGUAAGUCAAGAACGGGUGUGAGAGUGGAAAGUUCACACUGUGACGGUAGCUUACCAGAAAGGGACGGCUAACUACGUG
This 497-nucleotide ribosomal RNA is filed under the name uncultured bacterium. RNAcentral describes it as "partial 16S ribosomal RNA". It matches the Rfam family "Bacterial small subunit ribosomal RNA", at positions 28 to 507 of the family's 1533-position model. The record is from RNAcentral.